GACGAACGCUGGCGGCGUGCUUAACACAUGCAAGUCGAACGGAAAGGCCCUGCUUUUGUGGGGUGCUCGAGUGGCGAACGGGUGAGUAACACGUGAGUAACCUGCCCUUGACUUUGGGAUAACUUCAGGAAACUGGGGCUAAUACCGGAUAGGAGCUCCUGCUGCAUGGUGGGGGUUGGAAAGUUUCGGCGGUUGGGGAUGGACUCGCGGCUUAUCAGCUUGUUGGUGGGGUAGUGGCUUACCAAGGCUUUGACGGGUAUCCGGCCUGAGAGGGUGACCGGCCACAUUGGGACUGAGAUACGGCCCAGACUCCUACGGGAGGCAGCAGUGGGAAAUAUUGCACAAUGGGCGGAAGCCUGAUGCAGCAACGCCGCGUGCGGGAUGACGGCCUUCGGGUUGUAAACCGCUUUCGCCUGUGACGAAGCGUGAGUGACGGUAAUGGGUAAAGAAGCACCGGCUAACUACGUG
RNAcentral lists this ribosomal RNA (468 nucleotides) under uncultured bacterium. RNAcentral's name for it is "partial 16S ribosomal RNA". It matches the Rfam family "Bacterial small subunit ribosomal RNA", at positions 28 to 507 of the family's 1533-position model. The record is from RNAcentral.